RNAcentral lists this ribosomal RNA (468 nucleotides) under uncultured bacterium. RNAcentral describes it as "partial 16S ribosomal RNA". It matches the Rfam family "Bacterial small subunit ribosomal RNA", at positions 28 to 507 of the family's 1533-position model. The record is from RNAcentral.
GACGAACGCUGGCGGCGUGCUUAACACAUGCAAGUCGAACGGAAAGGCCCUGCUUUUGUGGGGUGCUCGAGUGGCGAACGGGUGAGUAACACGUGAGUAACCUGCCCUUGACUUUGGGAUAACUUCAGGAAACUGGGGCUAAUACCGGAUAGGAGCUCCUGCUGCAUGGUGGGGGUUGGAAAGUUUCGGCGGUUGGGGAUGGACUCGCGGCUUAUCAGCUUGUUGGUGGGGUAGUGGCUUACCAAGGCUUUGACGGGUAGCCGGCCUGAGAGGGUGACCGGCCACAUUGGGACUGAGAUACGGCCCAGAGUCCUACGGGAGGCAGCAGUGGGGAGUAUUGCACAAUGGGCGGAAGCCUGAUGCAGCAACGCCGCGUGCGGGAUGACGGCCUUCGGGUUGUAAACCGCUUUCGCCUGUGACGAAGCGUGAGUGACGGUAAUGGGUAAAGAAGCACCGGCUAACUACGUG